GUGCCUAAAACAUGCAAGUCGCACGGGGUCGGACCUUCGGGUGCGGUCCAGUGGCAGACGGCUGAGUAACGCGUGGGUGACAUACCCAUCGGUGGGGAAUAACUGCCCGAAAGGGUGGCUAAUACCGCGUACGUCUGCAGCUUCGUGGCUGCAGGGAAAGCUUCGCAAGAGGCGCCGAUGGAGUGGCCCGCGUCCGAUUAGCCAGUUGGUGGGGUAAUGGCCUACCAAAGCGACGAUCGGUAGCUGGUCUCAGAGGAUGAUCAGCCAGACUGGGACUGAGACACGGCCCAG
Molecule: ribosomal RNA, 291 nt
Filed under: uncultured bacterium
Lineage: Bacteria
Description: partial 16S ribosomal RNA
Rfam family: Bacterial small subunit ribosomal RNA
Source: RNAcentral